Molecule: ribosomal RNA, 633 nt
Filed under: Microbacterium sp. So3Pw_1437
Lineage: Bacteria; Bacillati; Actinomycetota; Actinomycetes; Micrococcales; Microbacteriaceae
Description: bacterial SSU rRNA
Rfam family: Bacterial small subunit ribosomal RNA
Source: RNAcentral
AGCCUGAUGCAGCAACGCCGCGUGAGGGACGACGGCCUUCGGGUUGUAAACCUCUUUUAGCAGGGAAGAAGCGAAAGUGACGGUACCUGCAGAAAAAGCACCGGCUAACUACGUGCCAGCAGCCGCGGUAAUACGUAGGGUGCAAGCGUUAUCCGGAAUUAUUGGGCGUAAAGAGCUCGUAGGCGGUUUGUCGCGUCUGCUGUGAAAACUGGGGGCUCAACCCCCAGCCUGCAGUGGGUACGGGCAGACUAGAGUGCGGUAGGGGAGAUUGGAAUUCCUGGUGUAGCGGUGGAAUGCGCAGAUAUCAGGAGGAACACCGAUGGCGAAGGCAGAUCUCUGGGCCGUAACUGACGCUGAGGAGCGAAAGGGUGGGGAGCAAACAGGCUUAGAUACCCUGGUAGUCCACCCCGUAAACGUUGGGAACUAGUUGUGGGGUCCAUUCCACGGAUUCCGUGACGCAGCUAACGCAUUAAGUUCCCCGCCUGGGGAGUACGGCCGCAAGGCUAAAACUCAAAGGAAUUGACGGGGACCCGCACAAGCGGCGGAGCAUGCGGAUUAAUUCGAUGCAACGCGAAGAACCUUACCAAGGCUUGACAUAUACGAGAACGCUGCAGAAAUGUAGAACUCUUUGGA